This is a long non-coding RNA of Heterocephalus glaber (naked mole-rat), 704 nucleotides long. The record is from Ensembl. NCBI's taxonomy places the organism in Eukaryota, Metazoa, Chordata, Mammalia, Rodentia, Bathyergidae.
GUAGAAACAGGUGACAUUCCACUCCACCUUGCCAUUCUCUCCUGCUGCUCACUGUUACCUGCUAUUUUGAGCGCUGGAUACUAUAAAAUACGAAGGCAUCCAGACAGAGCUGUGGACCGGGUGAGCCUUAGCAUUUCACUCCAUUGCCCUCAUAACGGAGAUGCCUUGGACACGAUGGUCUCCUUGCCUGCCAGCCCAGAAAUGCAUGUUUCAGUAAGUCCAAAAACGUUAGCUAGGAAGCUCAACACCCUGCGAAAGAUCUCACUAUAACCCACUGAAGGAGAUUCAGGUUUUCCAGUGCAACUUCCCACCUACAGAGGAGCUCUGUUAACUGGCCCCCAUGAGGACUGGAUCACCUGCAGCCUCACCUAGAUUCCUCAGGCUGAAACAACGUUCCUCCAGUUUUCACAACCUUCUGCAGCCGAGUGCCUCAAAACCCUGUUCCGUCUGCAUCCUCCGUGCGCUGCCGAGAGCGGCUCACACCCACCACUCCUCAUUCUCUACUCUCCACCUCGCCUUCUUCUCAUCCCCGCUGCAGAGUCAGAGCCCAGGCCUCUCCGACUGAACAGCAGAUGAUGCCAAGCAUCUUCUUGUUUUCUGAGUUUUACCGAAGCUCAGACAGGUGGUGCCAAAGUGCUGACCACGACCACAUACCCCACCGCCUCCCAGGACCCCUCUCCUCUCUCUUCCCUCCCAAACAGUAG